Molecule: ribosomal RNA, 1453 nt
Filed under: Desulfohalophilus alkaliarsenatis
Lineage: Bacteria; Pseudomonadati; Thermodesulfobacteriota; Desulfovibrionia; Desulfovibrionales; Desulfohalobiaceae
Description: 16S ribosomal RNA
Rfam family: Bacterial small subunit ribosomal RNA
Source: RNAcentral
GUCGAGCGAGAAAGCCCCUUCGGGGGUGAGUAAAGCGGCGGACGGGUGAGUAACGCGUGGAUAAUCUACCUUUGGGUUCGGGAUAACCUGUCGAAAGAUGGGCUAAUACCGGAUACGCUGCGUUUUGCUUAUGCAAGGCGUGGGAAAGAUGGCCUCUGCUGCAAGCCAUUGCCCAAAGAUGAGUCCGCGUCCCAUUAGCUAGUUGGUGGGGUAAUUGCCUACCAAGGCGACGAUGGGUAGCUGGUCUGAGAGGAUGGUCAGCCACACUGGGACUGGAACACGGCCCAGACUCCUACGGGAGGCAGCAGUGGGGAAUCUUGGGCAAUGGGGGAAACCCUGACCCAGCAACGCCGCGUGAGGGAAGAAGGCCUUCGGGUCGUAAACCUCUGUCAGGAGGGAAGAAAAGGCCGCGAUCUAACAGGUUGCGGUUUUGACGGUACCUCCAGAGGAAGCACCGGCUAACUCCGUGCCAGCAGCCGCGGUAACACGGAGGGUGCAAGCGUUAUUCGGAAUUACUGGGCGUAAAGCGCACGUAGGCGGUGCGGUAAGUCAGAUGUGAAAGCCCCGGGCUCAACCUGGGAAUUGCAUUUGAUACUGCCGCGCUAGAGUAAGGUAGAGGGUGGCGGAAUUCCCGGUGUAGGGGUGAAAUCCGUAGAUAUCGGGAGGAACACCAGUGGCGAAGGCGGCCACCUGGGCCUUUACUGACGCUGAGGUGCGAAAGCGUGGGUAGCAAACAGGAUUAGAUACCCUGGUAGUCCACGCCGUAAACUUUGGAUACUAGGUGCUGGGUUUUAAAUUCGGUGCCGUAGCUAACGCGUUAAGUAUCCCGCCUGGGGAGUACGGUCGCAAGGCUGAAACUCAAAGAAAUUGACGGGGGCCCGCACAAGCGGUGGAGUAUGUGGUUUAAUUCGAUGCAACGCGAAGAACCUUACCUGGGCUUGACAUCCCGCGGAUCCCAUAGAAAUAUGGGAGUGCCCUUCGGGGAGCGCGGUGACAGGUGCUGCAUGGCUGUCGUCAGCUCGUGCCGUGAGGUGUUGGGUUAAGUCCCGCAACGAGCGCAACCCCUGUCCAUAGUUGCCAGCACGUGAUGGUGGGCACUCUAUGGAGACUGCCGAGGUUAACUCGGAGGAAGGUGGGGACGACGUCAAGUCAUCAUGGCCCUUACGCCCAGGGCUACACACGUACUACAAUGGUGGGGACAAAGGGUAGCGAGACCGUGAGGUGGAGCAAAUCCCAAAAACCCCAUCGUAGUUCGGAUUGCAGUCUGCAACUCGACUGUAUGAAGUUGGAAUCGCUAGUAAUCGCGGAUCAGAAUGCCGCGGUGAAUACGUUCCCGGGCCUUGUACACACCGCCCGUCACACCACGAAAGUCGGUUCUACCCGAAGCCGCUGAGCCAACUCCGCUUCGGCGGGGGGCAGGCGUCCACGGUAGGGCCGGUAAUUGGGGUGAAGU